GCCCUUUUAAUGGUCUCCCUUAAGCUGACUUGGUGAAGCCAGUGGGAGGAUCAUGAUAUGCUGGUUCAUCUGACCUCAUCCUCUAAAUCAUUUAAAUCCUCUAAAAUUAUUAGGUCCUUAAAAUAAUAAAGUUAUGGAGAUAACUGAGUCAUAGCCUCCCAUUAAGGUGUUUGAUAAUGAGUCCAUUAACUCAAUAAUCAUUGC
This 204-nucleotide long non-coding RNA is filed under the name Elaeis guineensis (African oil palm). RNAcentral describes it as "long non-coding RNA (EGUI_LNC055622)". Lineage: Eukaryota; Viridiplantae; Streptophyta; Magnoliopsida; Arecales; Arecaceae. The record is from RNAcentral.